ACGAACGCUGGCGGCGUGCUUAACACAUGCAAGUCGAACGGGAGGAAAAGAGAAGCUUGCUUCUUUUUGAAUCUAGUGGCAAACGGGUGAGUAACACGUAAACAACCUGCCUUCAGGAUGGGGACAACAGACGGAAACGACUGCUAAUACCGAAUGUGUUCCGGAGACCGCAUGAUUUCCGGAAGAAAGGAUGGCCUCUAUUUAUAAGCUAUCGCCUGAAGAGGGGUUUGCGUCUGAUUAGGCAGUUGGUGAGGUAACGGCCCACCAAACCUACGAUCAGUAGCCGGUCUGAGAGGAUGAACGGCCACACUGGAACUGAGACACGGUCCAGACUCCUACGGGAGGCAGCAGUGGGGAAUCUUCCGCAAUGGACGAAAGUCUGACGGAGCAACGCCGCGUGAGUGAUGACGGCCUUCGGGUUGUAAAGCUCUGUGAUCGGGGACGAAUGGCUGGUAUGCUAAUACCAUAUCAGAGUGACGGUACCCGAAUAGCAAGCCACGGCUAACUACGUGCCAGCAGCCGCGGUAAUACGUAGGUGGCAAGCGUUGUCCGGAAUUAUUGGGCGUAAAGCGCGCGCAGGCGGCUUCUUAAGUCCAUCUUAAAAGUGCGGGGCUUAACCCCGUGAUGGGAUGGAAACUGGGAGGCUGGAGUAUCGGAGAGGAAAGUGGAAUUCCUAGUGUAGCGGUGAAAUGCGUAGAGAUUAGGAAGAACACCGGUGGCGAAGGCGACUUUCUGGACGACAACUGACGC
RNAcentral lists this ribosomal RNA (750 nucleotides) under uncultured bacterium. RNAcentral's name for it is "bacterial SSU rRNA". It matches the Rfam family "Bacterial small subunit ribosomal RNA", at positions 29 to 746 of the family's 1533-position model. The record is from RNAcentral.